Molecule: ribosomal RNA, 1066 nt
Filed under: Symplegma reptans
Lineage: Eukaryota; Metazoa; Chordata; Ascidiacea; Stolidobranchia; Styelidae
Description: SSU rRNA
Rfam family: Eukaryotic small subunit ribosomal RNA
Source: RNAcentral
CAGCAGCCGCGGUAAUUCCAGCUCCAACAGUGUAUGCUAAAGUUGUUGCGGUUGAAAAGCUCGUAGUUGGAUCUUGGGCGGGCGCGGUCGGUCCGUCGCAGGGCGUGCACUGGUCGCGUCCGCCUCGCCUUCGGUUCUUCGUCGGUGCUCUUGACUGAGUGUCGGCGGUGGCCGAGAAGUUUACUUUGAAAAAAUUAGAGUGUUCAAAGCAGGCUGUUCGCCUGUAUAGUGUUGCAUGGAAUAAUGGAAUAGGACCUCGGUUCUAUUUUGUUGGUUUUCGGAGCGUGAGGUAAUGAUUAAGAGGGACAGACGGGGGCGUCCGUACUCUGCCGUUAGAGGUGAAAUUCUUGGAUCGGCGGAAGACGAACUACUGCGAAAGCAUUCGCCAAGAAUGUUUUCUUUAAUCAAGAGCGAAAGUCAGAGGUUCGAAGACGAUCAGAUACCGUCCUAGUUCUGACUAUAAACGAUGCCAACUAGCGAUCGGGAGGCGUUACCAUGACGACCUUCCCGGCAGCUUCCGGGAAACCAAAGUCUUUGGGUUCCGGGGGAAGUAUGGUUGCAAAGCUGAAACUUAAAGGAAUUGACGGAAGGGCACCACCAGGAGUGGAGCCUGCGGCUUAAUUUGACUCAACACGGGGAAACUCACCCGGCCCGGACACAGGUAGGAUUGACAGAUUGAGAGCUCUUUCUUGAUUCUGUGGGUGGUGGUGCAUGGCCGUUCUUAGUUGGUGGAGCGAUUUGUCUGGUUAAUUCCGAUAACGAACGAGACUCUGGCAUGCUAAAUAGUUACGCGACCUUCUCGGUCGGCGUCUAACUUCUUAGAGGGACUAGUGGCGUUUAGCCACACGAGAUUGAGCAAUAACAGGUCUGUGAUGCCCUUAGAUGUUCGGGGCGCACGCGCGCUACACUGAAUGAAUCAGCGAGUGUCUGUCCUAGGCCGAAAGGUCCGGGUAACCCGUUGAACCUCAUUCGUGAUUGGGAUAGGGACUUGCAAUUGUUUCCCUUGAACGAGGAAUUCCCAGUAAGCGCAAGUCAUCAGCUUGCGUUGAUUACGUCCCUGCCCUUU